This 253-nucleotide ribosomal RNA is filed under the name uncultured bacterium. RNAcentral's name for it is "partial 16S ribosomal RNA". It matches the Rfam family "Bacterial small subunit ribosomal RNA", at positions 524 to 776 of the family's 1533-position model. The record is from RNAcentral.
UACGAAGGGGGCUAGCGUUGUUCGGAAUUACUGGGCGUAAAGCGCGCGCAGGCGGUCUUCCAAGUCAGUGGUGAAAGCCCGGAGCUCAGCUCCGGAACUGCCAUUGAAACUGUAAGACUUGAGGACGAGAGAGGUGAGUGGAAUUCCCAGUGUAGAGGUGAAAUUCGUAGAUAUUGGGAAGAACACCGGUGGCGAAGGCGGCUCACUGGCUCGUUUCUGACGCUCAGGCGCGACAGCGUGGGGAUCAAACAGG